GCCCCCAAUCUCGUCUCAAGCAAUCCAGCCAUGUCUGCCUAUGUUGGAAAGUACGCUGAGGAGCUUAUCAAAACUGCUGCCUACAUUGGCACUCCAGGCAAGGGAAUUCUUGCCGCAGAUGAGUCAACUGGCACCAUCGGCAAGCGCCUCUCUAGCAUCAAUGUCGAGAAUGUAGAGGAAAACCGCCGUGCCUUCCGGGAGCUCCUCUUCUGUGCCCCAGGUGCCCUCCAGUACCUCAGUGGUGUCAUCCUCUUCGAGGAGACCCUCUAUCAGAAGACCAAGGACGGGAAGCCAUUUGUUGAUGUCCUCAAGGAAGGUGGUGUCAUCCCUGGCAUCAAGGUUGACAAGGGCACCAUCGAACUUGCUGGCACCAACGGCGAGACAACCACCCAAGGCCAUGAUGACCUUGGCAAGCGAUGUGCCAAGUACUAUGAGGCUGGUGCUCGCUUUGCCAAGUGGCGUGCUGUUCUCAAGAUCAGUGCAACCGAGCCUUCCCAGCUCUCAAUUGAUGCCAAUGCGUAUGGGUUGGCACGGUAUGCCAUCAUCUGCCAGGAGAAU
RNAcentral lists this unclassified non-coding RNA (558 nucleotides) under Hevea brasiliensis (rubber tree). The record is from RNAcentral. Lineage: Eukaryota; Viridiplantae; Streptophyta; Magnoliopsida; Malpighiales; Euphorbiaceae.